GAUGAACGCUGGCGGCGUGCCUAAUACAUGCAAGUCGAGCGAACGGACGAGAAGCUUGCUUCUCCGAUGUUAGCGGCGGACGGGUGAGUGACACGUGGAUAACCUACCUAUAAGACUGGGAUAACUUCGGGAAACCGGAGCUAAUACCGGAUAAUAUUUUGAACCGCAUGGUUCAAAAGUGAAAGACGGUCUUGCUGUCACUUAUAGAUGGAUCCGCGCUGCAUUAGCUAGUUGGUAAGGUAACGGCUUACCAAGGCAACGAUGCAUAGCCGACCUGAGAGGGUGAUCGGCCACACUGGAACUGAGACACGGUCCAGACUCCUACGGGAGGCAGCAGUAGGGAAUCUUCCGCAAUGGGCGAAAGCCUGACGGAGCAACGCCGCGUGAGUGAUGAAGGUCUUCGGAUCGUAAAACUCUGUUAUUAGGGAAGAACAUAUGUGUAAGUAACUGUGCACAUCUUGACGGUACCUAAUCAGAAAGCCACGGCUAACUACGUG
This 497-nucleotide ribosomal RNA is filed under the name uncultured bacterium. RNAcentral's name for it is "partial 16S ribosomal RNA". It matches the Rfam family "Bacterial small subunit ribosomal RNA", at positions 28 to 507 of the family's 1533-position model. The record is from RNAcentral.